RNAcentral lists this small nuclear RNA (23 nucleotides) under Arabidopsis thaliana (thale cress). RNAcentral's name for it is "snRNA_01970". The record is from RNAcentral. Lineage: Eukaryota; Viridiplantae; Streptophyta; Magnoliopsida; Brassicales; Brassicaceae.
GCAAAUCGUUCGUCUGACUUGGG